RNAcentral lists this long non-coding RNA (529 nucleotides) under Salmo salar (Atlantic salmon). Its description in RNAcentral is "lncRNA (ENSSSAG00000103154.1)". Lineage: Eukaryota; Metazoa; Chordata; Actinopteri; Salmoniformes; Salmonidae. The record is from RNAcentral.
GUUUCAGUAGUAUUAUCUAACCAGGCUGGGUGACUGUUCUGAGGUUUCAGUAGUAUUAUCUAACCAGGCUGGGUGACUGUUCUGAGGUUUCAGUAGUAGUAUUAUCCAACCAGGCUGGGUGACUGUUCUGAGGUUUCAGUAGUAUUAUCCAACCAGGCUGGGUGACUGUUCUGAGGUUUCAGUAGUAGUAUUAUCCAACCAGGCUGGGUGACUGUUCUGAGGUUUCAGUAGUAGUAUUGGAUGAAGACCACUAGGGGGCAGAGUUGUUCCAGAUCAGUAACCCAACCCCAAGCUCCUGUCAUAUCAUGUUGUAAGAUGUUCUCAUCCUCAACAGCCUCCCUCCUCUCUCCUCUCUCUCGUCACAACCCCUAGCUGAUAUAGAGCUAGACGUCAUCAACUAGAUCAUCCACCGUGUAUAUAGAGCUAGACGUUCCCCAACUAGAUCAUCCACCUAGCUAUAGAGCUAGACGUUCCUCAACUAGAUCAUCCACCUGGAUAUAGAGCUAGACGUUCAUCAACUAGAUCAUCC